UACAGAGGAUGCAAGCGUUAUCCGGAAUGAUUGGGCGUAAAGCGUCUGUAGGUGGCUUUUUAAGUCCGCCGUCAAAUCCCAGGGCUCAACUCUGGACAGGCGGUGGAAACUACCAAGCCGGAGUACGGUAGGGGCAGAGGGAACUUCCGGUGGAGCGGUGGAAUGCGUAGAGAUCCGGAAGAACACCGGUGGCGAAGGCGGCCCGCUGGGCUGUUGCUGACGCUGAGGCGCGACAGCGUGGGGAGCAAACAGG
This 253-nucleotide ribosomal RNA is filed under the name uncultured bacterium. RNAcentral describes it as "partial 16S ribosomal RNA". It matches the Rfam family "Bacterial small subunit ribosomal RNA", at positions 524 to 776 of the family's 1533-position model. The record is from RNAcentral.